This is a long non-coding RNA of Rana temporaria (common frog), 493 nucleotides long. RefSeq lists it as uncharacterized. Lineage: Eukaryota; Metazoa; Chordata; Amphibia; Anura; Ranidae. The record is from RefSeq and is a predicted model, not a curated record. The transcript has 3 exons.
UCUAGGGGGUCAAAGAAUGCUCAAAGCACAUUUCUGCAGCUGAAUUAAUGAAUCUCUCCCAUUCUCUUUGGGAUCUGAUCCGGAAUUCCUUCAUCUUCCACCAUGACGAUGGGAAUUGUACCGAAGAGAGAGCCGAGACGGCUCGGGCACAGGGAGCCAUACGUAAAAAAAGCCACCUCGAAAAAUAACAGGCUUCAGCUUUAACUUUCACCACUAGAUGGUAGCAAACUUGUUCUCUGGCAACAACAUGGACAGGAAGUGAUCUCAUGUUCAUGCAGGAUGGACUCUAUGGUACAAACAGGAAGUGAUGCAAUACAUACGGAAGAACUUAUGGGUGAGAGGUGAGAAGCAAGGCAGUAGUGUGAGGUGACAGCGCUGAAACUGCUUCAUGAGAGACUAUACUGCACUUGGAGGGACACAAGGAUCUCUACAAGGACGUCAUGAUGGAGAAUCAGCCGCCCCUCACAUCACCGGAUGGAUCCAGUAAUGGGAU